CAGUCGCCGCGGUAAUACGAAGGGUGCAAGCGUUAAUCGGAAUUACUGGGCGUAAAGCGUGCGUAGGCGGUGAGUUAAGUCUGCUGUGAAAUCCCCGGGCUCAACCUGGGAAUGGCAGUGGAUACUGGCUCGCUAGAGUGUGUCAGAGGAUGGUGGAAUUCCCGGUGUAGCGGUGAAAUGCGUAGAGAUCGGAAGGAACAUCUGUGGCGAAGGCGACUAUCUGGGCCAACACUGACACUGAGGCACGAAAGCGUGGGGAGCAAACAGGAUUAGAUACCCGAGUAGUCCCUGUCUCUUAUAC
Molecule: ribosomal RNA, 301 nt
Filed under: uncultured bacterium
Lineage: Bacteria
Description: partial 16S ribosomal RNA
Rfam family: Bacterial small subunit ribosomal RNA
Source: RNAcentral